GAUGAACGCUGGCGGCGUGCCUAAUACAUGCAAGUCGAACGGACAGACGAGGAGCUUGCUCCUCUGACGUUAGCGGCGGACGGGUGAGUCACACGUGGAUCCCCUCCCUAUCAGACUGGGAUAACUUCGGGACACCGGCGCUUAUACCGGAUGAUAUCUUGAACCGCGUGGUUCGUUGGAGAGAGACGGCUUUUCUGUCUCUUCUCGAUGCAUCCGCGCCGGAUUAGCUAGUUGGUAAGGUCACGGCUUACCACGGCAACCAUGCGUAGCCGACCUGAGAGGGUGGUAGGCCACAUUGGAACGGGACCACGGUCCAGACGACUACGGGAGGCAGCAGUAGGGAAUCGGACGCAACGGGCGAAAGCCUGACGGAGCAAGGCCGCGUGAGUGAUGAAGGUCUUCGGAUCGGAAAACUCUGUUAUGAGUGAAGAACAAAUGUGUAAUGAACUAUGCACGGAUUGACGGUACCGAAUCAGAAAGCCACGGCUAACUACGUG
Molecule: ribosomal RNA, 497 nt
Filed under: uncultured bacterium
Lineage: Bacteria
Description: partial 16S ribosomal RNA
Rfam family: Bacterial small subunit ribosomal RNA
Source: RNAcentral